GAGGGUAGAGCUCAGUGGUAGAGUGCGUGCUUAGCGUACACGAGGUCCUUGGUUCAAUCCCCAGUGCCUCCA
Molecule: transfer RNA, 72 nt
Organism: Camelus ferus (Wild Bactrian camel)
Lineage: Eukaryota; Metazoa; Chordata; Mammalia; Artiodactyla; Camelidae
Rfam family: tRNA
About the family: Transfer RNA (tRNA) molecules are approximately 80 nucleotides in length. Their secondary structure includes four short double-helical elements and three loops (D, anti-codon, and T loops).
Source: Rfam